AUUCGUCCAAGUGAAGUAGAGGACAGUGGCGGACGGGUGAGUAACGCGUGAGGAACCUGCCUUUCAGAGGGGGAUAACAGUUGGAAACGACUGCUAAUACCGCAUAAGCGCACGGCAUCGCAUGAUGCAGUGUGAAAAACUCCGGUGGUAUAAGAUGGACCCGCGUUGGAUUAGCUAGUUGGUGAGAUAACAGCCCACCAAGGCGACGAUCAGUAGCCGACCUGAGAGGGUGACCGGCCACAUUGGGACUGAGAUACGGUCCAAACUCC
This 269-nucleotide ribosomal RNA is filed under the name uncultured Eubacteriales bacterium. RNAcentral describes it as "uncultured Clostridiales bacterium partial 16S ribosomal RNA". It matches the Rfam family "Bacterial small subunit ribosomal RNA", at positions 73 to 339 of the family's 1533-position model. Lineage: Bacteria; Bacillati; Bacillota; Clostridia; Eubacteriales. The record is from RNAcentral.